AUUGAACGCUGGCGGCAGGCCUAAUACAUGCAAGUCGAACGAGUGGCGGACGGGUGAGUAAUGUCUGGGAAACUGCCUGAUGGAGGGGGAUAACUACUGGAAACGGUAGCUAAUACCGCAUACCAUCAGAUGUGCUCAGAUGGGAUUAGCUAGUAGGUGGGGUAAUGGCUAACCUAGGCGACGAUCCCUAGCUGGUCUGAGAGGAUGACCGACCACACUGCAACUGGGACACGGUCCAGACGCCUACGGGAGGCAGCAGGGGGGAAUAUUGCACAGUGGGCGCAAGCCGGAUACAUCCAUGCCGCGUGUGUGAAGAAGGCCUUCGGGUUGUAAAGCACUUUCAGCGAGGAGGCGUUACUCACAGAAGAAGCACCGGCUAACUCCGUGCCAGCCGCCGCGGUAAUUC
This 406-nucleotide ribosomal RNA is filed under the name uncultured bacterium. Its description in RNAcentral is "partial 16S ribosomal RNA". It matches the Rfam family "Bacterial small subunit ribosomal RNA", at positions 30 to 526 of the family's 1533-position model. The record is from RNAcentral.